GGCAAAUAUUAAUAAUUUAAAUAAUCCUAAUUGAACUAAAAUAGGAACGGUUUGUUCUGAUUUCAUGUCAGACAGCGAGAAAACUUCUGGUUUCAACUGUACCUUGUUUUUGAUUGUGAACGAGUCAAAUAUCACGUGAUGUCACUGGAAUACUUUGAUCUUACUUUUACUGGGGCUUGUUUUCCUGUGGUUCCUUGUUUAUGUGGGAAAACCCUAGUUAACCACUUGGUGCCAUUUCGAAGGUAAACAGGAAGCCUGAUCUGGUCUUACAGCCCUUUCUGACGGGUGACAUAUUCCCUUUAUGUAGAACAGUCAUGUGUAAGACAGCCACAAUAAAGAUUCUUCUGAAAGUAACUGACCAAUAAGCAGGCUUGUGCUACCAUUGCAUGCGGUUACAUACAUCUCAACCUGGCUGCUGUAGACGUAUGCCCUGAUAUAUCCACUGAUAACAAAUUUUCCAAUGACGUGGACCAAUCAGAGCUCAACACGCAUACAUAUCCGCUUCAAAGACCCUCGCCAUCGACAGCAACCAAGCACCAGUCUUUGAGAUGGAGAGAUCAAGAGUCGUGCUCUUCGCGCUGAUGUGUUUUUCAUGGGUUUGGCUUUCCAGAAUCUCUGGAGAAGAAGUGGAGUUGAGAGUCAGAGCAGGAAGUGAUGUCACUAUCUUCAGCGACUGUGUUUCUAAAGAUAAAUUCAAUUUAGCUUGGUUUAGAAACUGCUCUCACCACCAUCAGCCUCGUCUAGUUCUAUUACCUAAAUAUAUGGUAGGGAAUUCUUUCCCUCGAUUCUCUCUAGAGUUAAAUUCUUCCAACCAAACUUAUGAUCUGCUGGUGAAGAACAUCUCUGAAUCAGACCUGGGUCUGUACUACUGCGCCACGUACAAGCAACAAAUUACCAAUAAAAAAACAGCAGGAAUCCGUUAUGAAGACGUCUUUCAUUAUGGAAACAGAACCACUCGACUCUUUCUGCUGGACACCUCAAAAAAUCGACUCAAUUCCACCUGUCCAGAAACAGACUGUAGCGUCUGCUGGAAGCUGCUGGUCAGUGUGUGUCCGGUGUGUGUUCUCCUCUCCUCACUGCUCUCCUCCACCUGUGUGUACUUCAUGUGCAAAUCUAGAAUCAAAGGUACGCUCUCACUUUCUAAAGCUAUAUGAUUUGAACAUGACCUGGACCCUCAAC
Molecule: long non-coding RNA, 1179 nt
Filed under: Astyanax mexicanus (Mexican tetra)
Lineage: Eukaryota; Metazoa; Chordata; Actinopteri; Characiformes; Acestrorhamphidae
Description: lncRNA (ENSAMXG00005015792.1)
Source: RNAcentral